GGACUUUAACAGGAUGACUGUGAUCAUCAAUAUAAUAGUUCACCUCGAUAAAAUACCAAAAUGAAAUCAAGUAUCAUAUGGGACCCUGAACAUCUUGGAUAUAUGUAAUACUCUACUUCAAGUCGGUAUUUAUAUGAGCUGAAAUGAGUCAGAUCGGUAUUUAUAUGAGCUGAGAUGAAUCAGGUCAGUAUAUAUAUGAGCUGAGAUGAGUCAGGUUGGUAUAUAUAUAAGCUGAUUAUAAUACUUCACCAAAAAUCAAUUUAGGUAGCUUAGAUCGGUGUUUAGAUGAGCUGGGUUAAGCCAAAUCAGCAUUUAGCCUCCAAUUU
RNAcentral lists this long non-coding RNA (326 nucleotides) under Elaeis guineensis (African oil palm). Its description in RNAcentral is "long non-coding RNA (EGUI_LNC003295)". Lineage: Eukaryota; Viridiplantae; Streptophyta; Magnoliopsida; Arecales; Arecaceae. The record is from RNAcentral.